This 253-nucleotide ribosomal RNA is filed under the name uncultured bacterium. RNAcentral describes it as "partial 16S ribosomal RNA". It matches the Rfam family "Bacterial small subunit ribosomal RNA", at positions 524 to 776 of the family's 1533-position model. The record is from RNAcentral.
UACAGAGGGUGCGAGCGUUAAUCGGAAUUACUGGGCGUAAAGCGUGCGUAGACGGUAGCGUAAGUCAGAUGUGAAAGCCCCGGGCUCAACCUGGGAACUGCAUUUGAGACUGCUCUGCUCGGGUGCGGAAGAGGGAAGCGGAAUUUCCGGUGUAGCGGUGAAAUGCGUAGAUAUCGGAAGGAACACUAGUGGCGAAAGCGGCUUCCUGGUCCGACACCGACGUUCAGGCACGAAAGCGUGGGGAGCAAACAGG